Long non-coding RNA from Pungitius pungitius (ninespine stickleback), 1592 nucleotides. RefSeq lists it as uncharacterized. The transcript is spliced from 3 exons. Lineage: Eukaryota; Metazoa; Chordata; Actinopteri; Perciformes; Gasterosteidae. The record is from RefSeq and is a predicted model, not a curated record.
UACGGUCUGGACGGGACAGCCGUUCCGCAGCGUGUCGCGAGUUUGACAUAUCUAACCUGGACAGAUAACACGGACAGUUCAAUAUAAUUACAUCUACAGAUAUAAAUAGCGGAGCCGCAGACGCGCUUGUAGUCUCUCGUGAGAUCAUGCUUUUAUCGCGAGAGUUCGCCAGCUCCAACGUAAUGUAUUUCUGUUCAAAGUAACCGCUAUUCAUGUUUUGCCCUUUGUACAUCGCCCUUACUUAAUUAAUUAGACUCCUGAUGUGACUUACAUUGUGUUUAUUGAAUAAUGCUGCAAAAUAAAUUCCCCAAAGAUCGCACUCUCCGCCAUUUUGUAUUGCGUAAUCACAGCUCAGCUCAGUGUGAAGCUAACUUUAGAAACGUCAUUAGCUCGUCACCAACGCCGAAGGCUUCACCGCGAACGCAAACGGCAGCCAGCCGCCUCGCCUCUACAGCCAGUGAUGUGCCCGGAGAUCAACGGCUUUCUCCCCCCUCUCUCUCCCACGCCACUAACAGACAUUUAUGGCCCGUGCAAAGUCAUGCCACCAGUCUGAGGACAUCACUGGGAAUGGCACAUGGGACACGUGGCUUUCAACUCCAGCGAGACCCAAGUCGACUGGACCACAGCGGAAAAUGAUCCUUCCAGAGAAGAAGUUAUUUACUUCUACAACGAAUGGAAGAGUUACAACCUCCAGAUGACAGCUCUCCGCUCAUCCUUCUGGGCAACUUAAACAUCCGACAGAACUUAUGUGACCCUACUGCGUUUUAUUUUCUCCUUUAGCUCUCAUUUAAGUAUUAAAAUUCGCUGUAUUUUUGCAAGAGAGGCACCAAUCCUAUUUGAGUGACGUUUCGAUUGUGAAAUUGUAUUGGACCAUAUAGGUCAUCUGCAGAGCGUUGGCCCCUGGCGCAGUAAACCAGGGUUUGAUUCUUGGCAUGCACAAGACUCCUCAUGUGACUUAAAAUGAAUCCAGAAUGCAAUAUUUGUUCAGUAUGCAAGGGCAGUGAUUUAUUUAGUCAUGUUUGGUCAUGUUUUGGUUUUUUUACAUGACAAUAUGGUUUGGUACAUGCUGAGUUAAUGAAUAUACAUUCUAAAGUGCAAUGUCCAUAUGUGAAUAAGAGUUGUAUACGUUUUUCAUAGUCAAUAUGGUAUGGAAAUAUCCCUUAUGUAGUUGGUCAAUAGGAACUAUAGUAGGCAGUAAUAACAGCUAAGGUAAUUACAGGUGGAUAUUUCUGGGAAUUAACCUUAAAUGAGACUGCAUCUAUGAUAUCUAAGAUAUACAGGACAAGAAAAAUGCACUGGAUGUGUAUAUGUGUUGAAUCAAUUAUACAGACGCAAACUGGAGAACGAGACAAGUGUUGCUGUGAUACUUAUUGUGGUCAUCGUGCCCGAGACCCGUAACAAUUACUCCGCAGGUCUUUUGCAGCGGGGCAACAGCCCGGCGUCGGUGGAUUCCGUUCGCGAGGCCGCAGAUUAAGGUUUGAAUGGCAGCCCCGAGAGUGAUUUGUUUAGUCUCUUUAGUCUUUUUUGACCCGCGAGCCCGGCCGACCGCCGCCCCACCCCGACGUGCGAGAAUAGGCGAAGGCCCGUUCAUC